RNAcentral lists this small RNA (125 nucleotides) under Marmota monax (woodchuck). The record is from RNAcentral. Lineage: Eukaryota; Metazoa; Chordata; Mammalia; Rodentia; Sciuridae.
GCCAGGUGCAGUGGCGCAUGCCUGUAAUCCCAGUGGCUUGGGAGGCUGAGAUAGGAGAAUCGUGAGUUCAAAGGCAGCCUCAGCAACUGUGAAGCGCUAAGCAACUCAGUGAGACCCUGUCUCUA